CAGUCGACGCUUUGUGGUUCACUGAUUUGAAGAGCUUGCUCAGAUAUGACGAUGGACAUUGCAAAGAGUGGCGAACGGGUGAGUAACACGUGGGAAACCUACCUCUUAGCAGGGGAUAACAUUUGGAAACAGAUGCUAAUACCGUAUAACAAUGACAACCGCAUGGUUGUUAUUUAAAAGAUGGUUCUGCUAUCACUAAGAGAUGGUCCCGCGGUGCAUUAGCUAGUUGGUAAGGUAAUGGCUUACCAAGGCGAUGAUGCAUAGCCGAGUUGAGAGACUGAUCGGCCACAAUGGGACUGAGACACGGCCCAUACUCCUACGGGAGGCAGCAGUAGGGAAUCUUCCACAAUGGGCGAAAGCCUGAUGGAGCAACGCCGCGUGUGUGAUGAAGGGUUUCGGCUCGUAAAACACUGUUGUAAGAGAAGAAUGACAUUGAGAGUAACUGUUCAAUGUGUGACGGUAUCUUACCAGAAAGGAACGGCUAAAUACGUGCCAGCAGCCGCGGUAAUACGUAUGUUCCAAGCGUUAUCCGGAUUUAUUGGGCGUAAAGCGAGCGCAGACGGUUAUUUAAGUCUGAAGUGAAAGCCCUCAGCUCAACUGAGGAAUUGCUUUGGAAACUGGAUGACUUGAGUGCAGUAGAGGAAAGUGGAACUCCAUGUGUAGCGGUGAAAUGCGUAGAUAUAUGGAAGAACACCAGUGGCGAAGGCGGCUUUCUGGACUGUAACUGACGUUGAGGCUCGAAAGUGUGGGUAGCAAACAGGAUUAGAUACCCUGGUAGUCCACACCGUAAACGAUGAGUGCUAGGUGUUUGAGGGUUUCCGCCCUUAAGUGCCGCAGCUAACGCAUUAAGCACUCCGCCUGGGGAGUACGACCGCAAGGUUGAAACUCAAAGGAAUUGACGGGGACCCGCACAAGCGGUGGAGCAUGUGGUUUAAUUCGAAGCAACGCGAAGAACCUUACCAGGUCUUGACAUCCCUUGACAACUCCAGAGAUGGAGCGUUCCCUUCGGGGACAAGGUGACAGGUGGUGCAUGGUUGUCGUCAGCUCGUGUCGUGAGAUGUUGGGUUAAGUCCCGCAACGAGCGCAACCCUUAUUACUAGUUGCCAGCAUUCAGUUGGGCACUCUAGUGAGACUGCCGGUGACAAACCGGAGGAAGGUGGGGAUGACGUCAAAUCAUCAUGCCCCUUAUGACCUGGGCUACACACGUGCUACAAUGGCGUAUACAACGAGUUGCCAACCCGCGAGGGUGAGCUAAUCUCUUAAAGUACGUCUCAGUUCGGAUUGUAGGCUGCAACUCGCCUACAUGAAGUCGGAAUCGCUAGUAAUCGCGGAUCAGCACGCCGCGGUGAAUACGUUCCCGGGUCUUGUACACACCGCCCGUCACACCAUGAGAGUUUGUAACACCCAAAGCCGGUGG
This 1417-nucleotide ribosomal RNA is filed under the name Weissella confusa. RNAcentral's name for it is "bacterial SSU rRNA". It matches the Rfam family "Bacterial small subunit ribosomal RNA", at positions 59 to 1433 of the family's 1533-position model. The record is from RNAcentral. Lineage: Bacteria; Bacillati; Bacillota; Bacilli; Lactobacillales; Lactobacillaceae.